This is a long non-coding RNA of Carassius gibelio (silver crucian carp), 3497 nucleotides long. RefSeq lists it as uncharacterized. The record is from RefSeq and is a predicted model, not a curated record. The transcript is spliced from 2 exons. Lineage: Eukaryota; Metazoa; Chordata; Actinopteri; Cypriniformes; Cyprinidae.
CUGGAAUACUUCUCAGGUGAUUUUGAGGCAAAUACCAUACUUAGAAUUUCACAAAACUCUGAACACACAUCAGUAUUUCUGAUAGGAACUUAAAUUGUGAAUGGAUUUUGGAUAGCUUGAAUGGUUUUGCCGUGGUGAUUUUUUGAAAUUACCUUACAAAGGGAAUCAUUAUUGUAUUUUUAAAAUGCAGCUUCCAAACACGUCAAAGAAUUUUUUCAUACAGAUGAAAAAGUCAUUCUGAGGAAAUAUGCAUAGUUUCAAGACUUUACAACACUGUAUGGAUAACAGAAAAUUAAAAAACUGUCAGACAUCUCAUCUCACUCUGUCCCUCUGUUUGAGUAUGUGUGCUUCAGACUUCCAUUGUCUGAGAGAAAUAGCGCCCCUACAGGUUCAAUUCCCGGACUUUUACUUUCACUUUUAAAUCGGUUAAAAAUACAAAUAAAUACUUAGAUUUAAUUCACACUGACAAGCUAAACCAACAUAUCUGAUUAUUACCGGUUCAGGGCUCAUGGAUAAAUUAUUUCUGGCCAGAGAUACGUGAGAAAUAGGAGAGAUGAAUCACCGCUGUGAUCACGAGCGUCUGGAGUAAAGAGCUCAGAAAAAACAAAUUUAUUCCUGUUUUAAAGCUUUUAAAAAUAAAUUAUUACAGCGAUAUCACACAAUCAACCAAUUAGAACACACCAAGAGCUAAAUUCAGAUGUUUUUGAACUGUUUGUGUGAAAAUGAAAUAUUUGCAGCUGCCUAUCUGAAACCACCGCCUCCGAUCAGCGCGUACAGUGUCGAGCUCAAAACAAACGAAUUUAUUCUUGUUUAAGAGCUUUUUUAAAUAAAAUAUUACCACAAAUGCACACAAUAAACCCAUUGUAACACUACAAGAGCUAAAUGCAGGUGUUUGUGACCCGUUUAAGUGUGCAAGACUAUUUGAAAGCGCGACUGGCAGAAUAACAUAUAUCUCUCGAGCUGCAGGAUUCUGCCUUUCGUCGUACGAACGAACACAUCACGGACAAGAUUAUUUCAAAAUACAUAAUAGCUUGGCGACUAUAAACGAAAACAGCCACGUGAACAUAAACUGUUGAGAAAUAAAUCUGAAAUGGAUCUACUGGAUUUUAAUAUUAAGUGACCGCAUAUACCAGCUGCUUCUGUCUUCAAUUUUGAUCCAUAUAAAAAAUGAAACUCAUUCAUCUUGGCUGCUUUUUUUAAUGUGUGUACGUAUUUAUUUAUUUAUUUAUUUAUUUAUUUAUUUAUUUAUUUAUUAUUUUGCUCUAACAAGAAUUAAUCUAUAUUUAAUUAAAUCAAUUACAUUUUAUUUUACAUUUGAUUUGUCCAUUUCUGCAUCUAAACGCCUAAAAACCUAAAACAUGCUCUAUUAUACUAUUGUUAGCAAUUUCUUUAUCGUCCAAUUUAUCUGGUGUACACUUUUAUUUUCAUAAUAAACUUGUUUGUUAGAUUAUACACAGUUACAGUGGUCUAUAAUAAAUAUUGACAGGUUUUAUUCAAGCUGUUUAGAAUGAUUGCAGUAGGCUAAUGUUUUGAAAUGUAAAUAAAAUAAAAAAAAUUUAAAUAAAUAAAUAAAUAAAAAACAUUGGAAAAGAAUAACUGUUGUACAUUUUUAUACAUUUUGUAUAAUUUCAUAGUUUAUGCAUUAUAGUUAUAAAAACAAAUAAAUUUAGCCACUCACAUAAAAUCUUAUAGGCCUUAUCCUUUUCUGACAGUUUUAGGGAUUUUUAAAAAUCCUAAAAAACCUUAUUUGUGCUGCAAAUAAUAAUUUCAAACUCAAACAGUAAAUAUUCAGUUCAUGCUUUAUAAAGCCUUGUCCCAAUAUUAAUAGUCAGUAGUAAGCAGUUUAUAAAUACAGCUAUAAAAAGCUUGUUCUUGGGUUAUAAGCACAUUUAUUAAAAAGGAGAGUAAAGGGUCAGUUAUCUUCCUAUGAAAAAAAAAAAAAAAAAAAAAAAAAAACAAACAACAACACAGAUUGAUACAGAACUCAGAAAUUUUAUUGUGGAUUUAUGAUAAAAUCAGCCUGUAAAUGAAUUCAUACUCCUCCAAGAAGACACAAGUUCACAGCAAACUUUUUUAACAUGAAGCUAAUAUACUGAAGAUGUUAAAUUGCGAAUGGGUUUAGGAUAGCUUAAAUGGUGUGGCCAUAGCGAUUUAUUAAAGUAACAUAAAAAAAUACAAUCGUUAUUUUACUAUAUCUUUAAAAUUUUUCAUUCCAACUCUUCAUAAUUUUUUAUGUACGUAGAAGUCAUCAUUUGAAGGAAGCACAGUAAGUUUCAUAGCUUUAUCAUUUUCAAGAGCCAGCAUAAAAUUAAAACUAUCAUAACUUAUAAAUCAAGCUUGCAAUUCUUAGUUCCAAUAAUGACCACCAGAUGGAGCUAUAGGAUUACUUUUAAAUAAUUAUUGUAAAACAAGUAUGAUUUAAAUCAUUUAUAGAAAUCUUUCAAAGAAAAAUAAUAUGUAUUUUAUGUAUUUUACUGAUAAAAUGACCCUCACUUAAUUAGAAUAACAAGCUGAAGUAUUGUGAACUGUAUAUUAAGAAUAAUUCUUUAUAAGCUUUAUGGACAGAUACGUUUUGAGUGACUCUUGAAGGUUCAGCACCACAUCCUCUUUUACCACUGUUUAAAGAAUGUAUCUUACAGAACAGGUGUGAAUGAAUUUUGGAUAGCUUGAAUGAUUUUGCGUGGUGAUUUUUUGAAAUAACAGUAAAAAAGUAACCAGUAAAUGUCUUUUAUUUUUUUAAAGUGCAGAUUCUAAACACUUCAAAAAAAUGUACACAUAGCAGACAAGUCAUUCUGAGGAAAUAUGCAUAGUUCCAUGACUAUACAACAUUAUAUGGAUGAUAGAAAAUUAAAAAACUAUCAUACAUCUGAUGUCACUCUGUCCCUCUGUCACUGUGGUUAAUGUGUGUGUGUGUGUGUGUGUGUUUGUGUGUGUGUUAAGUGAAUUAGGUGUGAAACUAUCAGGGAGCAUUUAGUCUCCAGCGCCAACAUUUUACAGAACUGCCACUUUCCUGGAGUCUCAGAAUUACAAUGUGCCAGGUUCUGAGAGAUCUAAGAUUCCAAAAAAUUAUUUAAUUAGAAUACUAUGAAGUAUUGUGAAAUACUAUAUAUUAAGACUUUAUAUAUAGGCUUAAUUAACAGAUUAGAGUGACUCGUGAAGGACCAGCACCACCUCCUCUUGUCCGAUGGUUUGAGGAAUAUAUCUUCCAGAAUCCGGGAUUAAGAUUUAGGAGCUCAUUUUUAUUCCACCUCCUUUCCUGAAAGUCUGUCUUGCAGAAUUGACUAAAAAUUAAUCUUCACAUUAAUUCCUAAUUAUUUUGCAAUUCUUUUUGUCAGUUCUUCUUGACCUGUUUUUCUCUUCCAGCUUUCCUGGACUAUUGUAUAGCACUCAUAAAUGAUUAAAUAAAAAAUAAUGGUAGUUAUUAAGAUUGAUAUGGUUUGGAAUUGGUAAAAUGUGCUUGGAAAAAAAUCACAAUAAAACAAUGUUUUAAUGUUUAA